GCCUGGUAGUGGGGGAUAACGUCCGGAAACGGGCGCUAAUACCGCAUACGUCCUGAGGGAGAAAGUGGGGGAUCUUCGGACCUCACGCUAUCAGAUGAGCCUAGGUCGGAUUAGCUAGUUGGUGGGGUAAAGGCCUACCAAGGCGACGAUCCGUAACUGGUCUGAGAGGAUGAUCAGUCACACUGGAACUGAGACACGGUCCAGACUCCUACGGGAGGCAGCAGUGGGGAAUAUUGGACAAUGGGCGAAAGCCUGAUCCAGCCAUGCCGCGUGUGUGAAGAAGGUCUUCGGAUUGUAAAGCACUUUAAGUUGGGAGGAAGGGCAGUAAGUUAAUACCUUGCUGUUUUGACGUUACCAACAGAAUAAGCACCGGCUAACUUCGUGCCAGCAGCCGCGGUAAUACGAAGGGUGCAAGCGUUAAUCGGAAUUACUGGGCGUAAAGCGCGCGUAGGUGGUUCAGCAAGUUGGAUGUGAAAUCCCCGGGCUCAACCUGGGAACUGCAUCCAAAACUACUGAGCUAGAGUACGGUAGAGGGUGGUGGAAUUUCCUGUGUAGCGGUGAAAUGCGUAGAUAUAGGAAGGAACACCAGUGGCGAAGGCGACCACCUGGACUGAUACUGACACUGAUGUGCGAAAGCGUGGGGGAGCAAACAGGAUUAGAUACCCUGGUAGUCCACGCCGUAACGAUGUCGACUAGCCGUUGGGGAUCCUUGAGAUCUUAGUGGGCGCAGCUAAACGCCGAUUA
This 744-nucleotide ribosomal RNA is filed under the name Pseudomonas aeruginosa. RNAcentral describes it as "bacterial SSU rRNA". It matches the Rfam family "Bacterial small subunit ribosomal RNA", at positions 128 to 863 of the family's 1533-position model. The record is from RNAcentral. Lineage: Bacteria; Pseudomonadati; Pseudomonadota; Gammaproteobacteria; Pseudomonadales; Pseudomonadaceae.